AGCGAACGCUGGCGGCAGGCUUAACACAUGCAAGUCGAGCGGGCGUAGCAAUACGUCAGCGGCAGACGGGUGAGUAACGCGUGGGAACGUACCUUUUGGUUCGGAACAACACAGGGAAACUUGUGCUAAUACCGGAUAAGCCCUUACGGGGAAAGAUUUAUCGCCGAAAGAUCGGCCCGCGUCUGAUUAGCUAGUUGGUGUGGUAACGGCGCACCAAGGCGACGAUCAGUAGCUGGCUGAGAGGAUGAUCAGCCA
Molecule: ribosomal RNA, 255 nt
Filed under: uncultured bacterium
Lineage: Bacteria
Description: partial 16S ribosomal RNA
Rfam family: Bacterial small subunit ribosomal RNA
Source: RNAcentral